This 497-nucleotide ribosomal RNA is filed under the name uncultured bacterium. RNAcentral's name for it is "partial 16S ribosomal RNA". It matches the Rfam family "Bacterial small subunit ribosomal RNA", at positions 28 to 507 of the family's 1533-position model. The record is from RNAcentral.
GAUGAACGCUGGCGGCGUGCCUAAUACAUGCAAGUCGAGCGAACAGAUGAGGAGCUUGCUCCUCUGACGUUAGCGGCGGACGGGUGAGUAACACGUGGAUAACCUACCUAUAAGACUGGGAUAACUUCGGGAAACCGGAGCUAAUACCGGAUAAUAUAUUGAACCGCAUGGUUCAAUAGUGAAAGACGGUUUUGCUGUCACUUAUAGAUGGAUCCGCGCCGCAUUAGCUAGUUGGUAAGGUAACGGCUUACCAAGGCAACGAUGCGUAGCCGACCUGAGAGGGUGAUCGGCCACACUGGAACUGAGACACGGUCCAGACUCCUACGGGAGGCAGCAGUAGGGAAUCUUCCGCAAUGGGCGAAAGCCUGACGGAGCAACGCCGCGUGAGUGAUGAAGGUCUUCGGAUCGUAAAACUCUGUUAUUAGGGAAGAACAAAUGUCUAAGUAACUAUGCACGUCUUGACGGUACCUAAUCAGAAAGCCACGGCUAACUACGUG